AUUGAACGCUGGCGGCAGGCCUAACACAUGCAAGUCGAGCGGAUGAAGGGAGCUUGCUCCUGGAUUCAGCGGCGGACGGGUGAGUAAUGCCUAGGAAUCUGCCUGGUAGUGGGGGAUAACGUCCGGAAACGGGCGCUAAUACCGCAUACGUCCUGAGGGAGAAAGUGGGGGAUCUUCGGACCUCACGCUAUCAGAUGAGCCUAGGUCGGAUUAGCUAGUUGGUGGGGUAAAGGCCUACCCAGGCGACGAUCCGUAACUGGUCUGGGAGGAUGAUCAGUCACACUGGAACUGAGACACGGUCCCGACUCCUACGGGGGGCCACAGGGGGGAAUUUUUGGAAAUGGGCGAAAGCCUGACCCAGCCACGCCGCGUGGGUGAAAAAAGGUUUCGGGUUUUUAAACCCUUUUAUUUGGGAAGAAAGAGUAGGAAAUUAACUCUUUGCUGCUUGACGGUACCCAACAAGAAAGCCACCGCUAACUUCGGG
RNAcentral lists this ribosomal RNA (484 nucleotides) under uncultured bacterium. Its description in RNAcentral is "partial 16S ribosomal RNA". It matches the Rfam family "Bacterial small subunit ribosomal RNA", at positions 30 to 507 of the family's 1533-position model. The record is from RNAcentral.